GGACACGUGGUGGCCCCGUGCCGUCUCCAACCGAGACGUGGGCACUCGGUGACAUUGAGCUGUCCCCAAGGGUGACACGGGUGACCCUGCCCUGUCCCAAGCGGGUCAAUGUGGUGACUCAGGGUUUAGCGAGGCGGGGCCGUCCCCGUGUCCCCGAUGUCCCCUCCCCAGACGGUGGCACCGGGCCGCCCCACCCGUCCCGGUCCCUAUUUAAGGUCUGUCCCCUCUGUCCCCGCUGUGUCCCCGAUGUCCCCGAUGUCCCCGGCAAUGGCCGCUCCCCGGCUGCCGUCGGCCCUCGGGGUCCUCCUGCUGCUGUGCGGGCGGCUGGCAGGUGCUGCCUCUGACUGCGACUCAGGAUCCCGCCUGAGCCCGCUGAUGGCCGGGGUGGAUCCAUGCAAGGAACCCGCGGGAUUCCUCAGCCCCCAGUCGGGGUGGGGGGACACAGGGGGACCCUCCGGAGGCCACCCUGGAUCCUAUGGGAGCAGCUCGGGAUCCUAUGGGGCCGGAUCGGGAUCCUAUGGGGGCGGAUCAGGAUCCUAUGGCAGACAGGAAUCCUAUGGGGGUGGAUCGGGAUCCUACGGGAGCAGCUCAGGAUCCUAUGGGGCCAGACCGGGAUCCUACAGUGGAUCGGGAUCCCAUAGCAGUGGAUCAGGAUCCUACGGUGGACCGGGAUCCUAUGGGGGCGGAUCGGGAGCGUCCCCGGGACGAGGAAGCGGAUCGGGAUCCUAUGUGUCACCGGAAUCCAGUGGAGGCAAACCGGGAUACUACGGAAGUCGACCGGGAUCCCAAGGGGAUGGAUCGGGAUCUUUCGUCUCGCCGGGAUCUGGUGGGCCACCAGGAUCCUAUGGACUUCUGCCCUAUGGAUUGGAGAGACCUCAAGGGGGAAGUGGGUCGGGAUCGGGAAGACCUGGAUCCCAAGGGGGAAGUGGAUCAGGAUCUGGAAGACCUGGAUCCCAAGGAGGAUCGGGAUCAGGAUCGGGAAGACCUGGAUCCCAAGGAGGAUCGGGAUCAGGAUCAGGAAGACCUGGAUCCCAAGGGGGAAUUGGAUCAGGAUCAGGGAGACCUGGAUCCCAAGGAGGAUUGGGAUCAGGAGGACCUGGAUCCCAAGGAGGAUCAGGAUCAGGAUCGGGAAGACCUGGAUCCCAAGG
Molecule: long non-coding RNA, 1148 nt
Filed under: Numida meleagris (helmeted guineafowl)
Lineage: Eukaryota; Metazoa; Chordata; Aves; Galliformes; Numididae
Description: lncRNA (ENSNMEG00000000885.1)
Source: RNAcentral